Molecule: non-coding RNA, 45 nt
Organism: Schistosoma curassoni
Lineage: Eukaryota; Metazoa; Platyhelminthes; Trematoda; Strigeidida; Schistosomatidae
Source: Rfam
AUUCAGAUGACGAGUCCAAAAUAGGACAAAACCCGCGUCCUAAAU